This 1317-nucleotide long non-coding RNA is filed under the name Homo sapiens (human). RNAcentral's name for it is "HSALNT0298554". Lineage: Eukaryota; Metazoa; Chordata; Mammalia; Primates; Hominidae. The record is from RNAcentral.
AACCUCCGCCUCCCGGUUCAAGUGAUUCUCCUGCCUCAGUCUCCCAUGGUUUUGUUUUUAUUUGACAUCCUCCAUCUCUGGUUUGCAAGUCUGGGCAUGCUGCCUGAUGGGCAGGUACCACCGUCCACCACCAGGCUUUGCUUUCUUUACUCUUGAAUAAGGCGGGGACACAGGUUCCAUUGUGUAAUGGUUGGCACUCUGGACUCUGAGUCCAGAGAUGGGGAUACAGGCAUUCAUUUCUAGCUCAUGGGUUUCUGGUGCAAGGGUUUCAUGAAGCCAUCACAAUUGAAAACAGAGGAAAGCGACAGCCCUGUCCUGGAAGCUGUUCAUUUGUUCCACUGUCUGAUUUCCAUUGGCCCCACCCCGACUUCUUCUGGGCUCGAGGCUCUUGGGAGAAAGCUUGUCCUUCUGCCCAGUGGGGCAGAGCGCAGGCUUCUCCUCCCACUGAUCUCCUCAAGGACAGCUCAUCUCUGGAGGAAGUGACUCCUCCCAGGCAGGUGGAGGUCAUUUCCCUCCUAAGUCAUUUUAGCAACAAAUGGGCAGAUCAGACCUAUCAUUCCAGUCAACUCAGAAGCUUUGCACAGCCUGGGAGCAGAAGAGCCUCCUGGCUCACCUGAAGUUCCUCUUCCCCAGCUAGGCAACACCCUCUUUGGUGCAGCCCUGGCCACUCCCCUUGCCAGCCUUCUAGGGAUCGCUGCGCACAUAGAGCUCUGCUUACAAAGGGCUUUAGGCUGUCCUAUGCCACCCAAAUUUAAUUGCAAACACAUACAAUGACUACUUUCCCCAACCAUUUGGACAAAGUCUAGUUUUUAAACCUGAGUUAAUGUUGCUUUUUCUACUUCCCAAAGCCUCUCACACUAUGCUAUCUCACUGACCCAGCAAAGUCUUCUCUUUCUCUGACCACACAAUCCUUUUCACGGGAACACAAGGACAUAGACAAACACUUCAUGGUGGAAAACCUUCCUGGAGUGAGUCAGCCAGCCCUGAGGAUGGUGACUCCUACAGGACAACCAGGGACAAUCAUCUUCACAGGAACCUAUCCUCCCUGCUGGGUGGAAAGAGCAUCGACCUGAGUCCAAUCAGCUACUUACAGGUCAACUAAGAAGAGGACUGAGAGUUAACCAUUGGAUUGAGCAACAUCAAGACCACCUGGAUAUUGGCCAAUGGUUUUACCCUGACCAUCUGCCCAGAGGGAUGGUAAGAGAGAAAGGCAGGACAGAAAUGAAAGGACAGUGAGAAUACACACCACUUUCAUGAAAUUUUGUUGUGAAAAGAAAGGAAGAGGCCCGGCAUGGUGGCUCACAUCUGUAAUCCCAG